This 85-nucleotide transfer RNA is filed under the name Felis catus (domestic cat). It matches the Rfam family "tRNA". From Rfam's summary of the family: Transfer RNA (tRNA) molecules are approximately 80 nucleotides in length. Their secondary structure includes four short double-helical elements and three loops (D, anti-codon, and T loops). RNAcentral also lists the same sequence under 1 other name. Lineage: Eukaryota; Metazoa; Chordata; Mammalia; Carnivora; Felidae. The record is from Rfam by way of RNAcentral.
ACCUGGGUGGCUCAGUUGGUUGAGCGUCCGACUCCGGCUCAGAUCAUGAUCUCACGGUUUGUGAGUUCCAACCCCACCUCGGGUU